Molecule: ribosomal RNA, 232 nt
Filed under: uncultured bacterium
Lineage: Bacteria
Description: partial 16S ribosomal RNA
Rfam family: Bacterial small subunit ribosomal RNA
Source: RNAcentral
CGGACGGGUGAGUAAUGUCUGGGAAACUGCCUGAUGGAGGGGGGUAACUACUGGAAACGGUAGCUAAUACCGCAUAACGUCUUCGGACCAAAGUGGGGGACCUUCGGGCCUCACGCCAUCGGAUGUGCCCAGAUGGGAUUAGCUAGUAGGUGGGGUAACGGCUCACCUAGGCGACGAUCCCUAGCUGGUCUGAGAGGAUGACCAGCCACACUGGAACUGAGACACGGUCCAG